GCGGGGAUAGCUCAGUUGGGAGAGCGUCAGACUGAAGAUCUUAAGGUCGUGUGUUCGAUCACGCUCCCCGCA
This 72-nucleotide transfer RNA is filed under the name Brassica rapa (field mustard). It matches the Rfam family "tRNA". Rfam says of the family: Transfer RNA (tRNA) molecules are approximately 80 nucleotides in length. Their secondary structure includes four short double-helical elements and three loops (D, anti-codon, and T loops). Further hydrogen bonds mediate the characteristic L-shaped molecular structure. tRNAs have two regions of fundamental functional importance: the anti-codon, which is responsible for specific mRNA codon recognition, and the 3' end, to which the tRNAs corresponding amino acid is attached (by aminoacyl-tRNA synthetases). tRNAs cope with the degeneracy of the genetic code in two manners: having more than one tRNA (with a specific anti-codon) for a particular amino acid; and 'wobble' base-pairing, i.e. permitting non-standard base-pairing at the 3rd anti-codon position. The record is from Rfam by way of RNAcentral. Lineage: Eukaryota; Viridiplantae; Streptophyta; Magnoliopsida; Brassicales; Brassicaceae.